RNAcentral lists this long non-coding RNA (1044 nucleotides) under Rhinopithecus bieti (black snub-nosed monkey). RNAcentral describes it as "lncRNA (ENSRBIG00000045704.1)". The record is from RNAcentral. Lineage: Eukaryota; Metazoa; Chordata; Mammalia; Primates; Cercopithecidae.
CUUGGUUCUUCCUCAGGGUGAUGGAAUGCUCCUAUAGUGUGGACCACAGGGUCAUCACUGUGAGAUUUGGAAGGUGAGGCUUCUGCCUGCCCCACUCCCAGCUUCUGGAUGGUUUCUGGACAGUAAGCUGAAUCAGGUAAAAAUGAAGAAAACUGGGAUGAGGUGGAUAUGUAAUGCAAUGGACAUGGAACUGUGAGACCUUAGAAGCCAAGUUAUCUGAGGCAAGGUACCCUGAAAGCCACAUUCUUUCCUUUAAUGGGACUGAAACAAAGACUUGAGGAAGCUGUAGGCCACAGUAACCAAAAGGAAAAUUAGGAUGGCAGAGCAAAGUUUCUGCUUCCUCAAAUCAAGUAAGGCUGGAACUGGUGGGCAGGAGAAGAGAAGGCACACAGGAGGAAGAUGCAGAAGGACAGUGAAUCCUCAGGACAAGAGGCAGCAUGGGGUGGUGGAUAAAUCGUGGACCAGGAGCGAAGCAAAGAUCUGCUCACCUGGGACACUCAUCAGGUUAUUGAAGGAGGACUCAAUAACAAGAGAGUCUCAAGAAAGCCAGUGGAAGGGAUAUAGCACAAAAAGCAGAAGACGCUUUGAUAAAGCUGCACUCAUGUUUAAGCUAGGGACCUUGUUUAUUUCUUCAGCUCCAAGUUCAUACACUUUCAGCCACAGGUGUGUGCAGGACUCCCUUACAGGAUAUCCUGGCUGUGCAUGUAUAUGUGUGUGUGUGUGCGCGCCUGUGAGACCCAAAGACAGACAGGACUUGGGAAGGAGGGAGAGAGAAAAAGAGAGAGAGAGAGGAGAGUAAGAUACAGAUAAAGGCACAGACAGACAGAAAACUAUUCACAGAGAGAUAAAGUUACACAGAAACAGACCUGGACAGACAGAAACCAAGCCUGCAGAAACCAAUAUGUUUAUAGAAGGGAAGAUAGAAAAAUAGACACAGAGAAAUAGAAAGAGAUGUGGUCAGCCAAAACAUAUUUGGUGACGAUAGCCUAACAAGACUUAUUACACAACACAAUGUAUGAAUCUUAUUUAGAUACUCAUCUGAAU